This 435-nucleotide ribosomal RNA is filed under the name uncultured bacterium. Its description in RNAcentral is "bacterial SSU rRNA". It matches the Rfam family "Bacterial small subunit ribosomal RNA", at positions 954 to 1392 of the family's 1533-position model. The record is from RNAcentral.
UGGGAACGCGAAGAACCUUACCAGGGCUUGACAUCCUACUAAUGAAGCAGAGAUGCAUUAAGCGCCCUUCGGGGAAAGUAGAGACAGGUGGUGCAUGGUUGUCGUCAGCUCGUGUCGUGAGAUGUUGGGUCAAGUCCCGCAACGAGCGCAACCCCUAUUGUUAGUUGCUACGCAAGAGCACUCUAGCGAGACUGCCGUUGACGAAACGGAGGAAGGUGGGGACGACGUCAAAUCAUCAUGCCCCUUAUGUCCUGGGCCACACACGUAAUACAAUGGCGUUAAACAGAGGGAUGCUAAGCCGUGAGGUGGAGCGAACCCCUAAAAGGCGUCUCAGUUCGGAUUGCAGGCUGCAACUCGCUUGCAUGAAGUCGGAAUCGCUAGUAAUCGCGGAUCAGCAUGCCGCGGUGAAUACGUUCCCGGGUCUUGUACACACCG